Molecule: ribosomal RNA, 484 nt
Filed under: uncultured bacterium
Lineage: Bacteria
Description: partial 16S ribosomal RNA
Rfam family: Bacterial small subunit ribosomal RNA
Source: RNAcentral
AUUGAACGCUGGCGGCAUGCUUUACACAUGCAAGUCGAACGGCAGCGCGGGCUUCGGCCUGGCGGCGAGUGGCGAACGGGUGAGUAAUGCAUCGGAACGUGCCCAGUAGUGGGGGAUAGCCCGGCGAAAGCCGGAUUAAUACCGCAUACGACCUGAGGGUGAAAGCGGGGGACCGAAAGGCCUCGCGCUAUUGUAGCGGCCGAUGUCGGAUUAGCUAGUUGGUUGGGUAAAGGCUUACCAAGGCGACGAUCCGUAGCUGGUCUGAGAGGACGACCAGCCAAACUGGGACUGAGACACGGACCAGACUCCUACGGGAGGCAGCAGUGGGGAAUUUUGGACAAUGGGGGCAACCCUGAUCCAGCAAUGCCGCGUGCGGGAAGAAGGCGUUCGGGUUGUAAACCGCUUUUGUUCGGGAAGAAAUACUCUGGGCUAAUACCCCGGGGGGAUGACGGUACCGGAAGAAUAAGCACCGGCUAACUACGUG